Molecule: long non-coding RNA, 817 nt
Organism: Dreissena polymorpha
Lineage: Eukaryota; Metazoa; Mollusca; Bivalvia; Myida; Dreissenidae
Exons: 2
Source: RefSeq, a predicted model, not a curated record
GUUCCGUUCGCGAGUUUGUGUCUCCAGAUAAAAAAUACCUUUCAUUUUGUUUAAUUGAAUUUUAUAUCACAUUCAAUAGUUCAAAAUAUCACAGGUAUACACAUAAUGAAAUACGGAGGGGCUUAUAUAAGAGACAUGUCGAACAACUGGGUAUUGCGUUUUAGUAAUGAAAAUAUUGCAUUAAAAACAGACAUGUAUUUGGCAAUUUUGUGAUUUUGCAUGAUUGCCUUUUAUAACAAUAACUAUAAAAAUAUAUUUACAUGUACAUAUUGAAAAAUAAAAGUGUAAAAGUGUGUACACAAUCGAAGGCAAACGAGAUGUCAACUUGGCUUCAGAAAAGGAAUGCAAAAUCUCAGUUAUUGUCGGACAAAGAAAACGAGGAUAUUUUCAAAACUCUGGGUCGGAGAUGUACGAGUUUGUCGACCGCUGUAGUUCAGCUGUACCUUGGUGAUACGAUAUACGGAAAGAAAUGGAACAAGCGUUGCUGUGGCGUGGUGUGCUUUGUGAAAGACUGUGCUCAACGAUCAUACUUCAUCAGGCUCUUUGACCCAAAGGUUUCACGGAACAAGUGUAUAAUUAUUUCUAGUAGUGUGUAGCUGAUAAAAAACGUAUCACUGCCACAAUGGUAAAACAAGGCCAAAGUUAUCUUACAUAAAAUUUGCCUUAGAGUCAGGUGACAAGUCCACAUAACAGCUUUCAAAUGCGACAUUCUAUAAAGUCAUAGGAAAUGACACAGUUAUGAUGAUGCUUCUCAUUUUUACCAGCUGUUGCUUAUUUUCAAAAAUAUUGUUUUAUCUGAUACAUUAAUAUUUCCACG